GUGUCAGCAGCCGCGGUAAUACGUAGGGUGCGAGCGUUAAUCGGAAUUACUGGGCGUAAAGCGUGCGCAGGCGGUUUGUUAAGUCAGAUGUGAAAGCCCCGGGCUUAACCUGGGAACGGCAUUUGAAACUGGCAGGCUGGAGUACGGCAGAGGGGGGUGGAAUUCCACGUGUAGCAGUGAAAUGCGUAGAGAUGUGGAGGAACACCGAUGGCGAAGGCAGCCCCCUGGGCCGAUACUGACGCUCAGGCACGAAAGCGUGGGGAGCAAACAGGAUUAGAUACCCCGGUAGUCC
RNAcentral lists this ribosomal RNA (292 nucleotides) under uncultured bacterium. RNAcentral's name for it is "partial 16S ribosomal RNA". It matches the Rfam family "Bacterial small subunit ribosomal RNA", at positions 505 to 796 of the family's 1533-position model. The record is from RNAcentral.